RNAcentral lists this unclassified non-coding RNA (943 nucleotides) under Hevea brasiliensis (rubber tree). The record is from RNAcentral. Lineage: Eukaryota; Viridiplantae; Streptophyta; Magnoliopsida; Malpighiales; Euphorbiaceae.
GUACAAUCAAUAAAUUAUGUUUGUUUAGCUACAAUUUUGUAAGAAGAAGGGGAUCCUUUAUUUAAGAGGAGAAUUUAAACAGGACAAUCUCCCAAAGUUCUAUUGAAGCCUUUUAUCCAUUUGAUGAUUGGUCAUCCCAUAGGCUAAGCUCAUAAACAUCUCCGAGACUGUUAGUGAAUUUAAGAGACCCACAAGGCCAACGAUAAGUAUAUUUAUCCUAGUUGUAAGAUCUCACAUUAUGGUCCCAAUAGCACAUGUGUUGACAUUGGAUCUUAAUAACAAGCUACGAGUUAAAAAAGAAAAAAAGAACAAUACAAAAAUGUCUUUGAUCUUAAUCACUAGAAACAUGUGUUGACAUUUGAGUGAUAAAACAACAGCACCGCCACAAUCAAAUUCUCAACUAUUAGCUUCACAGAGUCAAUAUAUCAAAUUGAUGAAAGAACAAUGGAUCAUAAUUUAAAAAGCAUAUUCAGAGAAAUGGUUGUCAUUUAAAAGGAGGGAAAGUCAAUCGAAAGCAACUUCCAACCAGGCCAGAAGGAUAAAGAGACGAUCCUCUAUAGUUUACUAAGCCAAAUCCACCAUUACCCACAAAAAAAGGGAAAAAAAAGAAUAAUAGUUGAUAAGCCACUAGGCAUCUGUGUGAGUGAUUACCCAAACCUGCAAAUGUUAGGGGGAAUGAUAAGAAUGAUUGGAAAUAUAAGAAGAUGAGGAAGGCCAAAAGAACAUGAAUUUGAAAAGUUAUGGCUACCAAAAUGGUUACGAGCAAUGUUAUUAAGUUGAGAGGCAAGAGGCAAGGCAAAGGUCUUUUUGAAGUGAGGCGCCAUAGCCUAAAUCUAUAUAUAUAUAUAUAAAGUAGGAAGGUGUUUCCAAGAGAAUACUAUGUGGCAUUCUCUUUUCUAGUAUUAUCACGUGACUAACACUUGGCAUUUUGUAUCGUCACGAG